This is a long non-coding RNA of Esox lucius (northern pike), 641 nucleotides long. RefSeq lists it as uncharacterized. NCBI's taxonomy places the organism in Eukaryota, Metazoa, Chordata, Actinopteri, Esociformes, Esocidae. The transcript is spliced from 6 exons. The record is from RefSeq and is a predicted model, not a curated record.
UUUUGGGGACUCUGAUGAGAGUGAAGAAGAGCCAGAAAAUUCAGCUGGUGUAUCAGUUGGAGCCUCAAGCCCAAACCAAUUACACUGGCAGACUCCACCAUCUCACUGAGUGCCAUGCAGCAGAGUCACUACUCCUCAACCUGGAGGAAACUGUCUAGCACCUGACCAUGGGGCCGGACCCCAACACCCUUCACCACCUCAACUCCCUGCACCAGUAUUUAACAUGAGGAGAGUUACUCAAGGAACGGCAGUCCCUCCUCAACUCCCUCCACCUCCCGCACCGGCCCUCAACAUGAGGCGAACAGAGGCGCCCUCUUCAAGCCUGGCCUACAGACCAACAUGGCGAGGGGGAGGAAUGACCGAUACCAUUCCCUGCUCUGUGGCUGAGGUCCACAUCCUUAGCCUGCUGGAGACCAUUAAACAGCAACAAGACCAGCGAACAGCACCCCGGGGCCAGAUGUUGAGAUGCCGGACAAUAUCCAGUUUCCCCUGGAACAAUUGGAGGCAGUGGAGGCAUUUGAAAUGUUUUUAAAGGAACCGUCAAAUGGCCCAGCUCGACAGAGCGUGGUGCUGUGAGGAAAAACACAGUGACACGGUCAGCCACGGACACAGAGGUCACCAAACACGCAAUCAGGUGGUUC